Molecule: long non-coding RNA, 1498 nt
Filed under: Anas platyrhynchos platyrhynchos (common mallard)
Lineage: Eukaryota; Metazoa; Chordata; Aves; Anseriformes; Anatidae
Description: lncRNA (ENSAPLG00000027668.1)
Source: RNAcentral
UCGCAGCCCCCCGCUGCCCCCCAGCCCCCCCGGGGGCAGCUCCGCGCUCCGUCCCGGGACAAACCCGGCCACAGGGGCUCGUCCCCCCCCGGGACAAGGUCACCGAGCGGCGGCAGCGCAUCCCUAGCGGGCUGCCCGCGGGGAGCAGGGGGGGACACAGGCAGCGCGGGGCACCCCACCGCCCUGCCUCAGCAUCCCGAUAAUCGCGACAUCAUCCCCCUCCCGAGCUCCGGCCGCCCCCCGGGGAUGCUCCGCGCUCCCGAGGGCUUACCCCAGGCUCCGGGGGUUCUCCGUCCCGUCCUGCCCCGUCCCCUCCUGCUCCGUCUCAGCCCCCCCGGGCCCGGCCCCGCCGCCCCAUGGCGCGGAGCCCCCCGGCGGGCAGCGGCCACCCGGGUCCCGCCGCGCUCCGCGGCCGCCGCCGCCGCCUCCACGCUCGCCCUCGGCCGCCCCCUGAUAUAUGCACGGGCCGCAGCCAAUCAGCGGCGCCGCCUGCCUCCCCGCGCCCUCCCAUUGGUGCUCCCGCGGCCGCUCGCCUCGUGGGGGCGCGGGGGGCGCGGACACGCGUGGGGGGCGCGGGGCGGCGGCGGCGGCAGCAGGGAGAGCGCGGAGCCGGCAGUGCCCGGGGGGAGCCCCAGCAGGCGGCAGCCCCCUCGCCUCCAGCCCGCUGGCUGCGUGUCCCCUGAAAGGGGAGGGGGUCCCCCAAAAGGGGGGGUCCCCCAAAAGGCGGGGGGUCCCCCCGCGAAAAGGGUUUCCCCCGGGAAAGGGCUCCCACGCAGCCCCGCGCUCCUCCUGCGUCCCACGGCCGGGUAUUGCAGAGCUGUGUUUGGGGACGGGGUGGGUGGGGUUUGGGGGGAGCGGGCCCGGCGUGGGGGGCUCCCUCACGUCGUUUCCCACGGGCAGUUCCUCCACUCGUGCCAUUUCCCACGGUCAUUUUCUCUGCUUGUGCCCUUUCCCAUGGUCUAUCCCUCCACUCGUGUCAUUUCCCAGGGCCAGUUCUUCUGCUCGGGUCCUUUCCCACGGCCAAUUCCUCCACUUGUGUCUUUUGGGUCCCUCUGCCCGUGCCCCCUGCCACGCGUUAUUUUCCUCCCACGGCAGGGGGAUGCUCCUGGGCAGCAGCCGGCCCCCCAAGCGGGGACCCUGGGGGUCCCCUCGGCUUCCCGCCGGUUGGGGCAGGGCUUUGGGGUCAGUUUCUGGGCCCCACUGAGCAGAGAGCCGUGGUCAGCCUGCCAGGGGGCUUCUGCCCCCAAAAAGAAGGCCAGGCCUCAUCUUACAAAACACUGCUGUGGGUUUUUACUGUAUUUUUACUGUUUUUUCCCCUUAUCUUCCAUUAUAUAGCCUUUAUAUUGUCUUUGUAUUUUUCCUUAUUAUUUCUUUAUAUUUUUCCUUAUGUUUUCCUCAUAUUUUCCCCUAUAUUAUCCUAUUUUUUUCCAUUUUCUCCCCAUUUAUUAUAUUAAAUAAUAUAAAAUAUUAUAAAAUCCACAUCACUUUUAUUUAUAUU